This 409-nucleotide ribosomal RNA is filed under the name uncultured bacterium. Its description in RNAcentral is "partial 16S ribosomal RNA". It matches the Rfam family "Bacterial small subunit ribosomal RNA", at positions 355 to 775 of the family's 1533-position model. The record is from RNAcentral.
UGGGGAAUAUUGCACAAUGGGCGAAAGCCUGAUGCAGCGACGCCGCGUGCGGGAUGAAGGCCUUCGGGUUGUAAACCGCUUUUGAUUGGGAGCAAGCGAGAGUGAGUGUACCUUUCGAAUAAGCACCGGCUAACUACGUGCCAGCAGCCGCGGUAAUACGUAGGGUGCAAGCGUUAUCCGGAAUUAUUGGGCGUAAAGAGCUCGUAGGCGGUUUGUCGCGUCUGGUGUGAAAGUCCAUCGCUUAACGGUGGAUCUGCGCCGGGUACGGGCAGGCUAGAGUGCGACAGGGGAGACUGGAAUUCCCGGUGUAACGGUGGAAUGUGUAGAUAUCGGGAAGAACACCAAUGGCGAAGGCAGGUCUCUGGGUCGUCACUGACGCUGAGGAGCGAAAAGCGUGGGGAGCGAACAG